ACGGGUUAUUAAAGAGAGUUUUAAUUAAGAAUGCCAUAUAAUUUUAUUGCUAUGCUUAAUUUCCAGAUGUACUGUAUGCACCUGUUCUAAUAAACUUUGCACCUGAACUACUAUUCUCCAUGUGGGUUAAGGACAGAUUAGAAACUUGACUUUGCUAUCGUUUAGUUCACUUUUAAUCACUUAAGAGUAAUUAUUGAAUUGCGAAUGUCAUUAAACACAUAAGAGACACACUAAUACUAAUUAUAUAUAUUUCUCCCAAUAGAAAAAUCUUUUAAUGGCGGAAAAAUUGCAUCGCCCACACGCUUUACCAAAAUUACUCAUUUCGAUUUUUAUUACUGAUGAAAUUGUUUUAUGGCUGCACUAAUUUAUUUAGCAGCUGCAUGUGCAAUUUAGUUCUUAAAACGCAGUUUGCAUCAGUUAUUCAAGAAAGAAGUACAUACAAUGUUUCUGAUAAUUUUUUUGGUCACUUUUAUUUCUCUCGUAACUAUAGCAUCAUCUAUUCCCGAUGCUAUACUUCCUUAUCAAUACGGAAUUAUGGAAGAGGCGAAAAAGUAAGUUCUAUCUAAAUGUUUAAAACAUAAUUAGUGUAUGUGAAAUGUUUGUUUAUAUAUUUUUUGUAGCUCAUACGGAAGAGGAUCAACUAAUUUUUUUUAUGGCUUAUGGCAAGAAGUUCUCUCUAUGAGAGAAUUAAACGAAUUGAGAUCAUUGACAUCACCUAAAGAUUUCUUAAUGAAGAUGUUGAGUUUAUUUGUCUCCCGCCUAUUUUUAAAUCUUCAAUCGAUCACGUUAAAUUUUUUGUUCAUGUUGUGAAGAGGAGGAAGAAGAAAAAUUCGAGGAUAUGUAGAAUUUUAUUUCAAAUUCGGUUUUACAAAAUCGCUUCAGCGCAGUUUUGCAAUAACGACGAUCUUUGCAAAUGGCAAAUAUCUCUCGUGUUUUGCGUGGUUAUUUAUCGAAGUAGGUGAACAUUUUUUUUUAUGUAACGAAUAUUACGUAUAGUAUUCUAGUUUGAGAUCUCUCUCCUAUUCCAAUCAUGGAAUAGAAAUUGGCUGAGAUGUUGAUGUUUAAUUGUAUGUAUCACACAAUAUAUAUAUAUAUUGUAAGUUAUAAUUAAGUUUAACAGGGUUGAUAAUGUUAUAUGGUAAUUAUGAGUUAUAAUUGAUAAGUGGUAUUUAAAUCUAUGUUAGACAUUCAAUAACAAAUGGUUUGGUUACGGUUUGUUUAAUGAUUUAUUAGUUUUAUCGUAUUGUAAGCGAUUAGGCGUACUGAAAGAUAUAGUAAGAUGACAGGAGAAAAUUUCGAUUUUGAGGUGACCACAAUGGCUAUAACAAAAAUUAACCAAUAACAUCUAAUUUAUGGAAUCAUUUACGGGGCCGGAUUAACCCACUUUGGAGCCCUAGACAUUUUCUUCUUACCAGGCCCCCCCUCCCACUCCCACAUGAAAUAGAGCGCACAAAAAAUUUUAGAUAUUAUUAUUACUUUUUAUAUCGUUAUUGGUAUUUUUUUAAUUCAUAGGAUAUUAAGAAUACAUAUGAGGCGUUGCGGAUACGAAGGGCAAACUCAACAUUGGAGCAAAAAAAUUUUUUUCCCCAUUUUGCUCCCAUGAAGCCACAGAAUAUGCUGGUUAG
This 1625-nucleotide long non-coding RNA is filed under the name Androctonus crassicauda. Lineage: Eukaryota; Metazoa; Arthropoda; Arachnida; Scorpiones; Buthidae. The record is from RNAcentral.